Molecule: long non-coding RNA, 1659 nt
Organism: Aedes aegypti (yellow fever mosquito)
Lineage: Eukaryota; Metazoa; Arthropoda; Insecta; Diptera; Culicidae
Exons: 2
Source: RefSeq, a predicted model, not a curated record
AAAAGCAAAUUGUGAAAGUUUCAUUAAGAUUUGAGCAUAUUUAAAUUCUCUGGAUUUUUUUUGAAUGAUCGUAUGGAAAACAAGUUUGGAAACACAGCCUAUUUUCUCAAUGCUUACUUUUUACAGAUGGGACUGACUUGCGAUUCACGGCAGUGCAGCUCUGAAAAUUUCACUUAAAUUCCCCCGGUCACUGUAGAAAUGCCGAUUAAGAAAACUCACUGGUACGAGCGGCAGUCAAGUUGCAUAAUUCUCGCUUCAUUUGUCGCACUGGUGUUGUCGCGACUUCGCGUGCGACGCCCCAUACAAUCAAACACCUCUUAUGUACCAACCUCUUUUCGAUAGCCUUGUCGUCGAUGACAAGCGCCCAGCCGUCUGCGCGCCACUGUGUUGGUUGUCAGUGUGAGUAGUAAUAAGAAGUAAACGAUGAUAAACGUCAGACAGAUAGAUAGUUACGAUCAAAACUGCAAGUCAGAGUCAGAAUUCAACGAAUUGGCGCACAAUUAGUGGCUUCAAUUAAUUUCAGCAUUUAUUUCAACGAAUUCGAGUUAAAAAGUCUGUGAAUUUUCUAAGUGUAGUGUACAGUCUGUAAUUUCAGUUCGUGAUUCCUCUAACAGUCACUGAAACGUUACCAGUACCGCUUUCCCAGUAAGACGAAAUUAGUAGGUCGUGCGUCAGAAUAGGUUAGUGAAUUGAUCUAAAUUGUAUCCUAAAACUUACUGGAAACUUAUUACACAGUCACAGCCUAGCAUCUCCUAAAGGGCCAUUUACGAUUUCAGUCAGUAACAGACCAAAACAGACAUAAGCAGCAUUCCCAACACCGAGUGAAUUUACGAAGACAGAAAAGACACUAAACGUAAGUUUUUCCUAAAUUUCUAUUGAAUUAUAUAAACCUAGACACAUAAGACAGCAAACAACUUAUUCUAUUAUGUACAGUAUAAACUUACAUUACUGUAUGAACUAUAUUGGCAGGAGUUUUUUAACGCCGUCGUCAUUGUCGUCGUUGAGCCAAGUUAACACCAAAUACACGUCGUUCAAAGAACCGGAAUCUGUCUUAUUUUCGUUGCUAUUUGCAACAGGUGUAUUUUGUAGAUCAUUUGUUGAAAAAACUCUUCGAUAAGCACCGUCUUAGCUUAGUCUUAGUCAUUUUCUUCCCACUGUCGACUGAAUCAUAGCUCAAAAAGUCAAAAUCCAAAGAGUGAAAUUAUCAGGCUGAUUUCUGCCGUCAGGAAAACAGUAAGGCAAGAAUUACCAAAAGGCAAAGUGUACAGAAAGGAGAAUAACAUGAUAAGUGAGAAAACUAAAAUAGGAAAUAUUAUCGGAAGCACAAAGAACGUAAGGCAAAAGGUAACGAAAGACAGGAAAGACUGCAAGGAAAACAGAAAUCUAAAACUGAACAAAUGCUUGCAUUAGUGUUCACAUAGAAACAUGUCGACAAAAACUAUUUCUACUAUAAACUGGAUUGUAAUCCGAAAAGUCGAAUUCCAAAAAGUGAAACUAUCAGAUGGCAGAAUUGAAUACGUUAGGAAAACCGUAAGGCAAAAUAUACGGAAAGGAGUAUAACAUUAGAAGGCGUAAAACCAAAAUGGAAGAAAUUAUAGGAAGCACAAGGAACAUAAAGCAGAAAGUAUCGAAAACCAGAAAAAACUGCGCAGAAAACAG